UGUGUGUGGUGUAUAAAGGUGUGGUAGUUUAAAGGACGUUUGACUGGCCCUGAGUUCUCCUCUGCAGGCUUCGCCCGAGGAGAGGAGCCAGGCGAGAAGAAGGUAGUCGCCAGCGGAGACCCGUGGACUGUCAUUUUAACCUCCUACUCCUGUUCUGCCGCAUUAUUUUAGCUUGAUUUUAGUUGGUUGUGCUUUUUGCUUUUAAUUUCUUUUAAGGAGGAACUCUAAUUGUUUCAUUCCUCUUAAAAUAAAUUUGGUUAUCCCUCUAA
This is a long non-coding RNA of Sander lucioperca (pikeperch), 269 nucleotides long. RefSeq lists it as uncharacterized. The record is from RefSeq and is a predicted model, not a curated record. NCBI's taxonomy places the organism in Eukaryota, Metazoa, Chordata, Actinopteri, Perciformes, Percidae. The transcript is spliced from 3 exons.